UACGUAGGUGGCAAGCGUUGUCCGGAUUUACUGGGCGUAAAGAGCGCGCAGGCGGUCGUUCAAGUCGCGUGUGAAAGCCCCCGGCUCAACUGGGGAGGGUCACGCGAUACUGAUCGACUCGAAGGCAGGAGAGGGUAGUGGAAUUCCCGGUGUAGUGGUGAAAUGCGUAGAUAUCGGGAGGAACACCAGUGGCGAAGGCGACUACCUGGCCUGUUCUUGACGCUGAGCCGCGAAAGCCAGGGGAGCGAACGGG
RNAcentral lists this ribosomal RNA (253 nucleotides) under uncultured bacterium. Its description in RNAcentral is "partial 16S ribosomal RNA". It matches the Rfam family "Bacterial small subunit ribosomal RNA", at positions 524 to 776 of the family's 1533-position model. The record is from RNAcentral.